RNAcentral lists this unclassified non-coding RNA (217 nucleotides) under uncultured Trichophaea. RNAcentral's name for it is "sequence contains ITS2". Lineage: Eukaryota; Fungi; Ascomycota; Pezizomycetes; Pezizales; Pyronemataceae. The record is from RNAcentral.
AAACCUACUCAAGUAAUUUUACUUGGAUGUGAAGGAAGAAUACUUUUUAAAUAAGGAGUUCUCCUUUGAAAUUGAUUAGCAGAUGGUAUAAAAUCCUGACGUUGCAAGAUUUUAAUCUUUCGAAGGUGAUUUUAUUAAAAAUAUUAUCUUGCUUCAAAUCCAUUUAUUGGCAUAUAUAGUUAAAAUAUACUAUAUUGUUGACAGUAAAUUUUUUAUA